Molecule: ribosomal RNA, 833 nt
Filed under: uncultured Actinomycetes bacterium
Lineage: Bacteria; Bacillati; Actinomycetota; Actinomycetes
Description: SSU rRNA
Rfam family: Bacterial small subunit ribosomal RNA
Source: RNAcentral
AGCCCGUAGGCGGUUUGUCGCGUCUGCUGUGAAAACUCGAGGCUCAACCUCGGGCCUGCAGUGGGUACGGGCAGACUAGAGUGUAGUAGGGGGGACUGGAACUCCUGGUGUAGCGGUGAAAUGCGCAGAUAUCAGGAAGAACACCGAUGGCGAAGGCAGGUCUCUGGGCUAUAACUGACGCUGAGGAGCGAAAGCAUGGGGAGCGAACGGGAUUAGAUACCCUGGUAGUCCAUGCCGUAAACGUUGGGCACUAGGUGUGGGGAUCUUCCACGAUUUCCGCGCCGCAGCUAACGCAUUAAGUGCCCCGCCUGGGGAGUACGGCCGCAAGGCUAAAACUCAAAGGAAUUGACGGGGGCCCGCACAAGCGGCGGAGCAUGCGGAUUAAUUCGAUGCAACGCGAAGAACCUUACCAAGACUUGACAUAUAGUGAAAACUCAUAGAGAUAUGAGGUCCUUUUAGGGCGCUAUACAGGUGGUGCAUGGUUGUCGUCAGCUCGUGUCGUGAGAUGUUGGGUUAAGUCCCGCAACGAGCGCAACCCUCGUUCUAUGUUGCCAGCACGUUAUGGUGGGGACUCAUAGGAGACUGCCGGGGUCAACUCGGAGGAAGGUGGGGAUGACGUCAAAUCAUCAUGCCCCUUAUGUCCAGGGCUUCACACAUGCUACAAUGGCCAGUACAGAGGGCUGCGAAGCCGUAAGGUGGAGCGAAUCCCUUAAAGCUGGUCUCAGUUCGGAUUGGGGUCUGCAACUCGACCCCAUGAAGUCGGAGUCGCUAGUAAUCGCAGAUCAGCAACGCUGCGGUGAAUACGUUCCCGGGCCUUGCACUCACCGCCCGUC